CCGCGGGCCUUUCCUUUGUGCUUGAUCUAACCAUGUGGUGGACCGAUGGAAAAGGAACAUGGUUCCGUCAAGCACCGCGGAAAGCCCCGCGCUCUCCUGCA
Molecule: microRNA precursor, 101 nt
Filed under: Jaculus jaculus (lesser Egyptian jerboa)
Lineage: Eukaryota; Metazoa; Chordata; Mammalia; Rodentia; Dipodidae
Description: microRNA 218-2 (ENSJJAG00000002395.1)
Rfam family: mir-218 microRNA precursor family (bases 6-87)
About the family: The extents of the hairpin precursors are not known. In this case the mature sequence in excised from the 5'arm of the hairpin.
Source: RNAcentral